CUGAACGCGAAUAAAUGUGAAACAAUCGAAGUUUCCGUUUACAACGAUAAGGAGCUAACAAGUGCUGUUAGCAUUUCUUACGCAUGCUCAGUUCAGCCCUGGACGGCUGCGUUUAAGGACACCACAACAAAUGAUACAUCCUCAGUGAUGAUGGCCUGUAACGCCCAGCUGACUGAGGGCUCUGCAGAGGGAGCAGCCGGAGUGAGAAGUCUGCCAGCAUGAUGUCUGACCAGUGUGCCAUUGAGUCCUGUGUGAUCGAACCUACGCUGAGGUGUCUCCUUCUCUUCUGCUGCUCCCUGUACUGGACUCCUGGACAAACCUACUUUUCUCUGAAUUUUAUAGAACCAUCCACGCGUUCUCUCUUCCUCCCUCAUCUUUUGCCAUUUUCUUUCAACUUAUAUUUAAUCAUAGAUUUCAUUUCUGUCUUGCUCAAGUGAACUGAGAUAUCAGUGUGAUUUGUCUCUGUAGCUUCCUUUGCACAUUUGUCUGCUAUGUCAUUUCCACAGGUUCCAGUGUGAGUCUACACCGUUCCCAUCAUUCGUAUCCUGUAUCUAUUGAAUCUCCAUUAAAACGUCUGAUCUGAAUUGUUCUGUUUCCAACCGAUUCAUUCUGAACUGGACUCAGAGCAUGUGAGGCUGAAAGAACUGCCAGAAUCUCUCCAGUAAACACUGAUACUC
Toxotes jaculatrix (banded archerfish) is the source of this 677-nucleotide long non-coding RNA. RefSeq lists it as uncharacterized. NCBI's taxonomy places the organism in Eukaryota, Metazoa, Chordata, Actinopteri, Toxotidae. The transcript has 3 exons. The record is from RefSeq and is a predicted model, not a curated record.